This 254-nucleotide ribosomal RNA is filed under the name uncultured bacterium. Its description in RNAcentral is "partial 16S ribosomal RNA". It matches the Rfam family "Bacterial small subunit ribosomal RNA", at positions 524 to 776 of the family's 1533-position model. The record is from RNAcentral.
UACGUAGGGGGCUAGCGUUGUCCGGAUUUAUUGGGCGUAAAGAGCGUGUAGGCGGCCAGGUAGGUCUGCUGUGAAAACUCGAGGCUCAACCUCGAGACGUCGGCGGAAACCAUCUGGCUAGAGUCCGGAAGAGGAGAGUGGAAUUCCUGGUGUAGCGGUGAAAUGCGCAGAUAUCAGGAAGAACACCCGUGGCGGAAGGCGGCUCUCUGGGCCAUUACUGACGCUGAGGAGCGAAAGCGUGGGGAGCGAACAGG